RNAcentral lists this long non-coding RNA (4963 nucleotides) under Nicotiana benthamiana. RNAcentral's name for it is "long non-coding RNA (NBEN_LNC009861)". The record is from RNAcentral. Lineage: Eukaryota; Viridiplantae; Streptophyta; Magnoliopsida; Solanales; Solanaceae.
UUCUAAAGCUUUCUCAGCCAUGACGUCUUGUAUCAAACAAAUAUCUCUCCAACACCCUCCUCAAGUUGGAGGGACCGGUCCAACUAAUAGUUUAGUGAAAAUGUCAACGACCUGAGACCGUGAAGGAAUGUAAGAAAGAGAGCUGAUACUGGCCAAAACUUGUUGCCGGACAGAGUGACAAUCCAAUUUGACAUGCUUGGUACGCUCGUGAAAGACCAUGUUUUUGGCGAUGUGAAUGGCGGAAUGACUGUGAGAGAGGAGAUCUACAGGCAAUGGAGGGGAAAUUGAAUGAUCAGACAACAAGCGCACUAACCAAGUAACCUCAGCAGUGACUCUUUGCAUAGACAUGUACUCUGCUUCAAAAGAGGAUAAUGACAACGAGGUUUGUUUCUUUAAUUUCCAGGAGACGGGAGAACCCCCAAAGCUAAUAACGAACCUGUUAAUAGACUUGCGAGUUUGAGGACAAGAUCCCCAAUUGGAAUCACAUAAAGCAAAGAGCUGAUAGUCAUGCUUUGAAUUCAGAAAAAACCCUAAACCUGGAUCCUUGACGAGGUGCUUGCAUUAAUUGGCUGAGAUCGUGCACUGCAAAGGAUAAGUCCGUCCUGAUGUGUGUUAGGAAAUUCAUCUUUCCUCAAACGAAGAUAAUAAGUGGGAUCUUGGAUGAGAGUACCUGCCUCUUUACAAUUUCUAAGUAGGAUCCAAGGGAGAAGAAACUGGUCACAUAUUCAUGCAAUCAAAUUCUAACAGAAGAUCAGAGGUAAAACGUCUUUGAGUCAAAAUUAUCCCAUGUGCUUCCCUUAUAAUUUCAAACACCAAAAAAUAAUGUGAAUUCCCUAAGUCUUUUAUUCUAAAUUCAGAAUGAAGGAAAGAUUUGAGCUCUUCAUAUUCAAUAAAGUCAUCCCCUGUUAUUAAAAAAUUAUGAACCUAAACAACAAAUGUGGUAAUCCUUCAUUCUGAUUCUUUAAAGAACAAGGAAUAAUCAUCUAAAGAGUGUGAAUAUCCUUUUAUAUUUAGAGCUGCAAUGAGCCUUACAUACCACUGCCUUGAGUCUUGCCGAUGUCCAUAGAGUGAAUUUUUCAAAGGCAGACAUGAUUGGGUGAAGGCGGUGUAAUCCCAGCUGGGAAUUUCAUAAAUACUUCUUCCAACAAAUCCCCAUGCAGGAAGGCUUAUUCACAUCUAAUUGUGACACAUUGUAUCACCCUUUUUUCUUACUGCAAUAUCACGUAAGCAUCUAAUUGUUGUCAUUUUUACAAUUGGGAAAAAAGUCUCGGUAAAGUCUAUCCAUUCUCUUUGAGUGUCUAUCGUGAUAACCAAAUGAUAUUUGAAUCUUUCUAAAUAUAUAUCAGACUUUUAUUUCACUUUGUAGACCCACUUGCAAGGAAGAGCUUUUUUUCCACUAGGUAAAGGCACAACCUCUUAGGUUUUGUUCAGAUCCAGAGCCUCCAAUUCUUUUUCCAUUGCUUCUUGCCAUCUUGGAUGUAAUGCUUCAUGUGAGUAAGAAGUAGGUUCAACAAAGUAGGAAGUGGAAUUGAGCAUAGACUUAUUGGUAGGUGAAAAAGCUGUGAAGGGUAUAAUAGUAGGCUGGAUGGGUGGAGUGAAGCAGGAAGUUGUGAGAUCUGUGAGAAAGACUAAGUUGCAAAUAUAAUCCUGGAGAUAUGAGUGUGCAUUAUAUGUUCUAGUGGAUUUCCUGACUUCAAGAAGACAUAUAGGUAAGGGUGAAGGAGGAGAUGAUCUCGGUUGAGAAAUAGAACUUGUACCUGUGGUGGAAGAAAGAGUGCUGGAGUUGCUUGGGUUUGAAAAAGUAGGCAGUGAAGGUAAGGGUAAGUUGGGAAUGGAAGGCUCUUCCUCAAUGUGUUCUGAUGAGUAUUCUACACUACAGUCUAGGUGUGAGGUGACAGGGAAGAAGGAAUUUAUAGGUGUAGUAAUAGAGGCAAAAAGUACUGAUAUUCAUAUAAGUACACAUCUCUGGAUACACUCAAUCUUCUUGUAUCCAACUCUAAAACUUUGUAACCCUUCUACACCAAUGAAUAACCGAAGAAUACACAGGUCUUUGCCCUUGGGUCAAACUUACCUCUUCCACUAACUAAGGCAGAUACAUAGCAAAGACAACCAAAACACUUCAAGAGUUCAUAAGAGGAUUUCUGUUUGAAUAGAACAAAAUAAGGUGUCUUUCCUUUAUGUACUCUAGAACGUAACCUAUUGAUCAACUAAGUUGUAGUUAGUACGGAUUCUCCCGGAUAAAGAUGAGGAAGCUUAGACUGAAACAAUAAAGCCUUUACAAUUUCCAAAAGAUGUCUGUGAUUUCUCUCAACCACUCCAUUCUGUUGAGGGGUUGCCACACAUUAUAUUUGAUGUAGUAUUCUGUGAUAUGCUACAAAUGAUGCAUCAUGAGUGCCUUUCCCAAGCUUAAAGCAUUAUCUGUCCUUAUCUUUUGUACCUUUACACCAAAUUGUCUUUCCACUAUUGUGAAGAAAUUUUUUAAGGAGUCCAAAAGCAUUGCUUUUGUUGCUCAUAAGUAAUGUCCAAACUGCCCUACUAUAGUCAUCUACAACUGUUAAGAUGUACUUAAAACCAUUAUAAGUUUGGGCUCCCAAAAAUCUACAUGGAUUAACUUAAAUGCUCUUAUUUAUUUAAUUUGACUUAAAAGUAAAAGGAAUUCUGGUUUGCCUAGCUUAGGCCAAAUUUGACAAAAACAAACAAUUAGAGCUAAAAGGAAAGGAAUUAAAACUGAGAUUUUUCAUUGAUGAAAAGGGCAAAUGUCUAAUCUAAUGUGCGAAAGGCUUACAUCUGAAACUAAACUUGCAGAAAAAGGAAAAGAAACUGACAAUUGACUAAAAACAUCUUGAUUUAAAAUUGAAACUGGUUCCACACUUGUGCUACUUCUAAUUCCCCUCGGUUAUAAAUGGUAGAGACCAUAUCUUGCCUUUCCAAAAAUUUGUUCCCUCUUCACUAAAGGCCCCUGCAACAUACGGUCAGUAGAAGUAAAGAGAGAAUAGAAUGAAAUAGUAAAUAAAACUUGUUAACAAAUAACAGAUUGUAUCUGAAACUUGAUACAUAUAAUACAUUCUCUAAAAUGAAGUCAGGUGGAAUAGAUAUUCUUCAUGUGUGACUGAUAGUGACUUUGAAAGAAUUAAGCAGAUUUACGUUUUGGGGAACGAAAGGGGUGUUAAGGUAAUAAAAGUAUUUGAGUCAAAACACGUAUAUUUAGAUGCACCAGAGUCAAUAAUCCAUGUACUAAAAUUAAAAAAUAACAAGAAAGUUGCAGAAUACCUAGCAAUAGUACCACCAACAACAUUAGCAUUGAUAUCACUUCUACAAUUUCUUGAAUCUCUUACCAUAACCUGUUUGAUUAAUUGAACCAAUUAUGAAAACUGAUCUUGUGAGAGAUUUGAUUCAAAACUUCAUUCUGAUUGCUGCUAUCAUUAUCUAUCUCUUCAAUUUGAUAUGCUCCAUUGCUUUUGCUCUGAACUUGAUUUCCCUUGUGAACUCGAAAUCUUCUGGAAAACCUAUAAUUCUUUAGCAAUAACUGAUUGUGUGCCUUACUUUCUUGUAAUGACUGCAUGUUGCAUUAGGGUUAAACUUAGUUUUCUUUCCCUUGAAAUUUGUGUCUCUUUGAGUAGUACUCUUUUGGAUGUUGUUCCCAAACUUUUGAUACUGCAUGGGUUUCCUUUGCAUAUGCUCUACACCUCUUUGAAGUUAUUUUGAAUUGUGACCAUGAAAGAUGAAGAUUCUGGGGAAAUGAUUGGGCUAGAAAAAACUUCCUUCUGGCACUGAUCUCGAAACACCAGGGAAUAUGUAUGGUUGAUGCUUGGUAGGGGAUUCAUCAUCAGGAUAGUUUUCCUUGCUUGACCAUAACUAUCUUUUAGACCCAGAAGAAAUUGGAUAAACCUUUCAUCAUCUAGUCAUUUUUCUAGUUUUUGCUUCCUUUCACAUACACACAAGCAACUGCACUUCACAUCACAGUUAAGGUAAGCCAAUUCAUCCCACAAAGCUUCGAGUAGCUUGCCAUGUCACUAGUUUCUUGUACUACCCUGAUAAUUCCUUCCUUAGGUGAUAGAGCUUUGCUCUAUAUGACUAACCGAACCUAUGUUCAAGGCUGGUCCAAAGAUCUUUAGCAUAUUUAGAGUAAAUGACAUUGUCUUAUGUCUUUGGAUAGUGAGUUGAGUAACUAGGAUAUUACCAUGUUAUUACAUCUGCUCCAAGGCUAAUAAUCUGUGGAAGUAAGAGUCGAAGCAGGGCAAGCACUAUUUUGUUUUUGGCAGAUAAUCCUAUAAGAACAGACUUUCUCCAUCCUCGUAAUCCUCUCCCAUAAAAAACUUUAUUAACAAGAGACAUUCCCGGUGCAUCAGAAGCAUGAAAUACGUAUGCAUGAUUUGAGUCGAUGGUGGGCAUUCCUCCAAUGAUACCCACUGUGGUUUCAGUGUUAUCAGGCUUUGUAUAGGAUUUAUAUGAAGGUGAGGAAGGCGAUCGAUGGAUCGAGCUUUCACUACCAUGAUAACAUUGUUGAAGUUUGGCAAAAUGCCAAAGUCCCACAUCGGUGAGUUAUUGUUUUGGUUUGGGAUUUUUCCCUAUAAAAGAAGGCCUAAUGUUUAGAAUUUAAACACACUUCUCAUUUGCCUUCUCAUCUGUUUAAGGCAUUUGUAUCUUCUCUCUUUAGUAUUAUUUCACUUGAAUUUUUGGAGUGUAAUAAAAUAUUGGUUGUUUCCGAGGAGUAGGCAAAGUUGGCGGAACCUCGUAAAUUCUUGUGUUCCUUUUAUUGUUGCUUUAUUAUCUUAUUUAUUAUUUAGUUGCUGCCAUAAUUUUUGGUAUAUUAAUUAUGACUCAUUCACACUAAAUACAUUUGGCUUCCGCAAUAACCAUGAAGAAAUAUUGAAAAGAAGAGACAGAUGAAAAAUUUCAAUGUAUUUCAUUUCCUUCCUUUACGUAUAUAUGCAAAAUAAAUGAAUCAAACUAUGUUACUCUA